Molecule: long non-coding RNA, 584 nt
Organism: Scatophagus argus
Lineage: Eukaryota; Metazoa; Chordata; Actinopteri; Scatophagidae
Exons: 3
Source: RefSeq, a predicted model, not a curated record
AGGGAAGACAGUGUUGAGAAUGACCAACCUACAUGUCCCCAGCAGCUGAGCAGAAUGAUGUCAGCCAGUCAGCGAUGUUUUGAGGCUCCGAUGUGCUGCCGUAAAACACCUGAUCUGUGAAGAUGUGUGUCAACAAAAGCUUGUGGAGAUAACUGACUGUGUGUUCAAACUAUGGAGAAACUAUACAGAUAGCACAGAUCACUGAAGAUAUCACCAUCACAGCAUCUCUUUAUGUGGAAUGUGUGCAGUUGUUGUGUCAAUUAGCCGCAACUUACAGUUUAUGUGAAAAAUACAUUUUACUCCAUCAGUCUACAUUAAAAUCACUUAUUUGUCCAUGCAAUACUUAUUAACUAUAUAAAAACAAUACUUUAUUAUAUUUCAGAAACGAAUACAUGAUUUUAAUAUGUAUAUAUACAGUAAAGACAGAAUGCACGUGUUGGAUUUCUGAAAUAAAAGUUAUACUGUAAUAAUCUGUUUGAACUCUGAUAAUGCGUGAUGAUGAUGAUGAAGAUUUAAAGCUUCAGUUUGUUUUAUUUAGUGAUUAACAAGCUGUUAAAGUGUAUAAUAAAAUUAUUGAGAAUAUG